CGGCGGCGGCAGAGCAGGAGAAGCAGGGCUAACAUGGCGCUUACUGCGGACUCUGCGCACUCUGCGCCCGUGUUUUCUGUCGUGUUCUCAUCACUGGCGCUUUUAUUUUAACACCUGACCUUGUUAACUUCACCACACACGUCCCCCGAAGUCAAACUCAAGCGUUUGUCCGCGGAAUAUUCCAAAUAAAGUGCCUUGUAGACUCCGGGAAUCUCGCUAACUUCUAACGUUAGCAAAGAGGCAGGAGGAGGAGAAAAGAAUUGGGAGAUACGGAGCAACAAGAGGAGGAGGACGAGUAGGAGUGUUCCUGUCUUGACCCUGGUUUGUAGCUGAUGCAGAUGCGAUGGCCACGGUCGAGGUAUGGGAGUAACGUGACGGCUGAUUCUGCUUCCGAACUAAAAAACCUCAGCUGUGCCAUGUUCCUCUGCUGAAGCCGAGGGGGCAGAACACACGGAGAAUGGACGAGUCAGUCUUGUUGGACUUGCUGGAGUGCCCCGUUUGUCUGGAGCGGCUAGACGCCUCGGCCAAGGUUCUUCCCUGUCAGCACACCUUCUGUCGCAGAUGCCUUCAGGGAAUCCUGGGCUCGCGGGGGGAGCUGCGCUGUCCCGAGUGCCGCACUUUGGUUGAGUGUGCCGUGGACGAACUCCCCAGCAACAUCCUCCUCGUGCGCCUGCUGGACGGCAUCAAGCAGAGGCCUCGCAGGCCUGGACCUGGACCUGGAGUCUGCACCAACGGUACGUCUGGAGCUGUGGCCAGAGCUCACGGCAGAGAGCAGGGCAACAACCGAGAGCAGAGCAACCCAGGAGCACAACCACAGAGAGCCCAGGCCAAGAGCUCACUUGUCAGGACCGUGCCUCAGCUGCCUUGUGCUAAAGCUCUGUACAACUACGAUGGCAAGGAACCAGGUGACCUCAAGUUCACCAAGGGUGACAUCAUCAUCCUGCGCCGGCAAGUGGACGAGAACUGGUUCCACGGCGAGAUGGGCGGAGUCCACGGCUUCUUCCCCACCAACUUUGUCCAGGUCCUCAAACCGCUGCCUCAGCCGCCACCUCAGUGCAAAGCUCUGUACGACUUUGAGCUCAAAGACAAAGAGGCCGACAAGGACUGUCUGCCCUUCUCCAAGGACGACAUCCUGACUGUGAUCCGCAGAGUGGAUGAAAACUGGGCAGAGGGAAUGCUGGGAGAUAAAAUUGGAAUUUUCCCCAUCUCGUAUGUGGAGUUCAACUCAGCAGCUCGUCAGCUCAUUGAGUUAGACAAACCCUCAGACUCUGGUGGAGACUCUGGUGAGGGGGCCUCCUCCUCCUCCUCAUCGGGGCCCCAGAGCAAUGGCGCCCAGCGAGCAGGGGAGAAGAAGAACAGUAAGAAGCGACAUUCCUUCACCUCUCUCACCAUGUCUCACAAGCCCAUGCCAGCUCCGCCCCCUCAGCGUCACUCCAUGGAGAUCAGUGGGCCGGUCCUCAUCAGCUCCAGCAACCCGACGGCAGCCGCACGCAUCGGAGAGAUGAGCGGGGGUCUGUCCUGCAGCGCGCCUUCACAGGUACACAUUUGCACAACUGGACUAAUUGUGACCCCGCCCCCUAGUAGCCCCGUUACCACAGCAACGGUCUUCACAUUCCCCUCAGAGACGAGCUUCACAUCCAUCCCAGUGGAUGCUCUCCCACCUCCCCCGCCUCCUCCCCCACAAUCCUCUGCCAGUGGAGCGGCGUACUCGUUGGCUGCCGGUCAGAGACCCUCCCCGAGCAUAAGUGACCAAAGUGGGAGACAAAGACCCACAGUAUAUGUGGCCAUGUUCCCCUACACUCCACGUAAGGAUGACGAGCUGGAGCUGAGGAAGGGAGAGAUGUUCCUGGUGUUGGAACGCUGUCAGGACGGCUGGUUCAAGGGCAUGUCCAUGCACACGGGAAAAAUUGGAGUCUUCCCAGGGAACUACAUGAGUCCAGUCAGCAGGACAGCGUCAGGCAGCACGCAGCCUAAAGUACCCAUGAGUCUUUGCACUCAAGCGGGCCGAGGCGUCAGCCUCAUCAGCCCGUCGUCGGCUCCCCUCGGUGCCGGUGUUUUGGGACCGGACUUGAACAAACCCGUGGCUGUGUGUUCCAGCGCCGCUCCUGCCAGCUCCCAGCCUGCUGCCGCGGUAGUGACGGCGGCUCAGACGGCCACGGGCCAGCAGCCCAAAGUGCCGCAGCACGUCAACUCCCAGAUGACUGUGAAUCAGGCUCGCAACGCGGUCAGGACAGCUGCGUGUCACAGCCAGGAUCGGACCACGGCGGCGACACCUGUCCAGUCUGCGUCACCCGCGUCUUACGUGCCUCACCUCUCCGUGUGCUCGCAGUCCUCGUCCACCUCCGCUCAGGGCUGUGCCCGCGCCGGAGCAGUUAUGGGCUGUGCCGCCGCUUCUCUGACCCCGCCCAACGUCAGUGCCGCGUCACUGGAGGGCGACGCCCCGAGACCCACGCCUGUCCUCGCUGUGUCUGUCGGGAACGGCUGUGCCGCUAACGCCGCGACCAACAGUUCAGCUUUGUCCUGCAGACUCGACAAAGACUUCAAGAGAGAAAAGAAAAGUCUUCUGAAGCUCUUGUCCUCCAACAAGAAGAAGUCUCGUUCUUCACCGCCCUCGUCUCCAACUCUUGAAGCAGAACAGGCUGCAGCUGGAGAGGUUCUUCACGACGCCUCUGUCAACUGCCUCGAGCAUGAUCCUGCUGCUGCCGCCUCCUCCUCCUCAGCCUCAGACUCCUCCCAUCGGAAGAACAGUCCUCUGGACGUUUGUGCUCCCAUUGCUCCUCCCCCUCGCCAGCCCUGCUCCUCCCUCUCGUCUCAGCAGCACGACGCACGGCCCAUCAUUUGUGAGAGGUAAACACCGCUCAGCUCAUAGAAGCAUUUGAAACUACGUACUGUAUGAACAUUCAUUCAUUCAUUCAUUCAUUCAUUCAUUCAUGUUUUCACAGUUCUGACCACGUUUUUAAAACGUGCUUUUAUGCUCACCACAGUAAAUAAGUGGUGAGUGAUAAUAAAUAUUCUAAAACUACACAAGAAGUGGAAAUGUCUGGAAUCUUUGUUUGGGAAAAGUUAAGCAAACACCAGGGUUCAAAUUCUGUGAAGCAGCUUUGAUUUUUUUAUGAUGAAAUCAUCGCUGAACUGAAACUAAACUGAAAAUAGUUUGGAAGUGAACUCUCAAACCUUUUAGUUUGAAAAAGACCAGUCGGCCUGACCUCAACUGAAAUCAGUGCUGAAUGUACAGGGUUGUGGUGUCGUAUCCUCCACAGAGUGACGCCGAGCUGGAGCUGAAGGAAGGCGACGUC
Molecule: RNA transcript, 3296 nt
Organism: Solea senegalensis (Senegalese sole)
Lineage: Eukaryota; Metazoa; Chordata; Actinopteri; Pleuronectiformes; Soleidae
Gene: sh3rf1
Gene name: SH3 domain containing ring finger 1
Exons: 12
Source: RefSeq, a predicted model, not a curated record